UUUGGUUUGCUUUGGUUUGGUUCAGAUAUAAAUAAAAAUUAUUUAUUAUAAAAAUAAAUAAAUAUUUAUAUAUAAAUAGAAAUUAGACUAAUUUUAUAUUUAAAUAAAAAUUAGAUUGUUUUUAAAAAUAAGGUAAUAGUGUUUGGAUAGUUAGAUUGGAAUAAGGGGUAUAAGAGUUAUAAUUUUAAAUUAAAAAUAUUUUAUCUAAUUAAUUAAUAUCUAAAUAUUAAUUAAAAAUAAUUUAAUACAUUAAUAAAUUAUGCAUAAAUAUGUUAAAUUAUUAAUUUUUUAAUUAUCUAAUUAAUUCUAAAAUAAAUAAUUGAUUAAUUACUUUAUUAUUUAAACAAUAGAUAAUAAUUUAAAUAUAUUAAGUAAAUUAAUUAAUAAUUUAAUAUAAUAAUUAAAAUUAAAUUUAGACUUUAAUUAAACUUGCUCCUGCUUGCGAACAAGCUUGUUCCACGAAAAGGGUGGAACAAUAGUUCUAGCCUUAUACCGGCUUGUUCUAGAAAAAGGAGAACAACUAUUCCAAUCCCUAAUUUCAUGUUUGGGAAACAAGGGAAGAUAAUCCCUUAUUCCACCUCUUGUUCUCCAACCAAACGAGGCCAAAAAGUAUUCAUACCUACUGUUCAUUUUAUGAGAAGCUUCCAACACAAAAAAAAGAUUAUAAUAAACUGUAAUGUGCGCGAUAAAAUCAAUGCAUGGAUGGCGAAAAGAUGAUACAUGAAAUUGAGAAAAAAAAAUAUGGAAAACGAUAAUCUGGCAAGUCGUAUAGUCAACUUGUAAAAAGAAUUUGGUGGUACAGGGGUAUUACUUCUUGGACGGUUUCUGUCACGCCCUGGAUUUCAGCGGAAGCUUACAAGUCGCGUGCACAGACCCGCCGUGUACACCACAACUCAAGUAUACACCAGGCGUCUACAAAUAGUAUAGUAAAAGAAUUCGAUUCUAAUCAGGUAAUCAAAGCAAAACUUAAAAGUUUAAACUUAUACCAUCCAAGACCUUAUUACAGUAAAUAAGAACAAAAUCCAAUUUACAUGAUCUUAAUAUACAUCACUGAACUAAUCUACAUAAACGGGUAAAGAUCGUCUAUUUAACGUCAAGAAGGCUCUAGCUAGCCGCUGAUCCCUCGCCAGGAACCCUAGCAUUUCCCGCUGUGGGAGGCUCUAUAAAAACAACAACAAAGAGGAUAUGAGAACUAUUAAACAAUAGUUUCCAGUGGGUAAGCCACCGAGAGUGGCGAAGUACACCACUAGGUCAACUGUGGCAUGAGUAAAUAGCAAUAAAGAAGCAACUAAAUGCAACAGGUAUGAAAGUAAACUACUCAUGCUAUUUGCUCAACAAUAAAUAAAUAUCAACAAGCUGCAGGUAUUAGUUAUCAUGAUAGAUUCUAUCAUUCAUAUUAAUUGACAAUUAACUAGGCAUAUACCAGAUUGUAUGCAUGAUAAUUCGUCUUACUGAAAUCACUGAUAAUAUCAUGUAAUUACCUUCGAUAUU
Molecule: long non-coding RNA, 1491 nt
Filed under: Ananas comosus (pineapple)
Lineage: Eukaryota; Viridiplantae; Streptophyta; Magnoliopsida; Poales; Bromeliaceae
Description: long non-coding RNA (ACOM_LNC013511)
Source: RNAcentral